GGUCAGGCCUGGCUGGGCUGUGGCAACAGGCGGCGGUUUCGGGAGGCUCUGCCCUGGCGGAGGUGCCGGCUGUGUCACCACGACGGGCACUGGUUUGGAGGGGCUCUGGCACGGCGGAGCGGCCGCCUGUGCUGUUGUGACGGGUGUUGGUUUCGACUGGCUCUGGGGAAGGGGGCUUGCCGAUUUCACCUCGACGGUGGGCGCUGGUUUUGUGAGGCUCUGCUGCGACGGGGUUCCCGAUUUCAUCUCGACAACAGGCAUUGCUUUGGGCAGGCUCUGCUGUGACGGUGUUGCCAAUCUUGCCUCGACAACAGGCAUUGCUUUGGGCAGGCUCUGCUGUGACGGUGUUGCGGAUUUCACCUCGACAACAGGCACUGCAUUUGGGAGGCUCUGCUCUGACGGUGUUGCUGACUUCACCUCGACAACAGGCAUUGCUUUGGGCAAGCUCUGCUGCGACGGUGUGGCCGAUUUCACCUCAUCGGGCGUUGCCUUUGGUGGGCUCUGCUGCGACGGUGUGGCCGAUUUCACCUCAUCAGGCGUUGCCUUUGGCGGACUCUGCUGCGACGGCGUUGCUGACUUCACCUCAUCAGGCGUUGCCUUUGGCGGACUCUGCUGUGACGGCGUUGCUGACUUCACCUCGACAACGGGCAUUGCUUUGGGCAGGCUCUGCUGUGACGCUGUUGCCAAUCUCGGCUCGACAACAGGCAUGGCCUUGGGCAGGCUCAGCUGUGAUGGUGUUGCCAAUCUUGGCUCAACAACAGGCAUGGCCUUUGGCAGGCUCGGCUGCGACUG
Molecule: long non-coding RNA, 792 nt
Filed under: Struthio camelus australis
Lineage: Eukaryota; Metazoa; Chordata; Aves; Struthioniformes; Struthionidae
Description: lncRNA (ENSSCUG00000003622.1)
Source: RNAcentral